RNAcentral lists this ribosomal RNA (240 nucleotides) under uncultured bacterium. RNAcentral's name for it is "partial 16S ribosomal RNA". It matches the Rfam family "Bacterial small subunit ribosomal RNA", at positions 80 to 334 of the family's 1533-position model. The record is from RNAcentral.
CAAUCCAUGAGUAAAGUGGCGCACGGGUGAGUAACACGUGACUAACCUACCCUGGAGUGGGGGAUAACUGAGGGAAACCUUAGCUAAUACCGCAUAAUACCUACGGGUCAAAGGAGGAAUUCGCUCUAGGAGGGGGUCGCGGCAGAUUAGCUAGUUGGCGGGGUAAUGGCCCACCAAGGCAGUGAUCUGUAUCCGGCCUGAGAGGGCGCACGGACACACUGGAACUGAAACACGGUCCAG